CGCACGCAGGCGGUUUGUUAAGUCAGAUGUGAAAUCCCCGGGCUCAACCUGGGAACUGCAUCUGAUACUGGCAAGCUUGAGUCUCGUAGAGGGGGGUAGAAUUCCAGGUGUAGCGGUGAAAUGCGUAGAGAUCUGGAGGAAUACCGGUGGCGAAGGCGGCCCCCUGGACGAAGACUGACGCUCAGGUGCGAAAGCGUGGGGAGCAAACAGGAUUAGAUACCCUGGUAGUCCACGCCGUAAACGAUGUCGACUUGGAGGUUGUGCCCUUGAGGCGUGGCUUCCGGAGCUAACGCGUUAAGUCGACCGCCUGGGGAGUACGGCCGCAAGGUUAAAACUCAAAUGAAUUGACGGGGGCCCGCACAAGCGGUGGAGCAUGUGGUUUAAUUCGAUGCAACGCGAAGAACCUUACCUGGUCUUGACAUCCACGGAAGUUUUCAGA
This 439-nucleotide ribosomal RNA is filed under the name Escherichia coli. RNAcentral's name for it is "bacterial SSU rRNA". It matches the Rfam family "Bacterial small subunit ribosomal RNA", at positions 566 to 1004 of the family's 1533-position model. The record is from RNAcentral. Lineage: Bacteria; Pseudomonadati; Pseudomonadota; Gammaproteobacteria; Enterobacterales; Enterobacteriaceae.